GACGAACGCUGGCGGCGUGCUUAACACAUGCAAGUCGAACGUAAAGGCCCUGCUUUUGUGGGGUGCUCGAGUGGCGAACGGGUGAGUAACACGUGAGUAACCUGCCCUUGACUUUGGGAUAACUUCAGGAAACUGGGGCUAAUACCGGAUAGGAGCUCCUGCUGCAUGGUGGGGGUUGGAAAGUUUCGGCGGUUGGGGAUGGACUCGCGGCUUAUCAGCUUGUUGGUGGGGUAGUGGCUUACCAAGGCUUUGACGGGUAGCCGGCCUGAGAGGGUGACCGGCCACAUUGGGACUGAGAUACGGCCCAGACUCCUACGGGAGACAGCAGUGGGGAAUAUUGCACAAUGGGCGGAAGCCUGAUGCAGCAACGCCGCGUGCGGGAUGACGGCCUUCGGGUUGUAAACCGCUUUCGCCUGUGACGAAGCGUGAGUGACGGUAAUGGGUAAAGAAGCACCGGCUAACUACGUG
RNAcentral lists this ribosomal RNA (468 nucleotides) under uncultured bacterium. RNAcentral's name for it is "partial 16S ribosomal RNA". It matches the Rfam family "Bacterial small subunit ribosomal RNA", at positions 28 to 507 of the family's 1533-position model. The record is from RNAcentral.